GAUGAACGCUGGCGGCGUGCCUAAUACAUGCAAGUAGAACGCUGAAGGAGGAGCUUGCUCUUCUGGAUGAGUUGCGAACGGGUGAGUAACGCGUAGGUAACCUGCCUGGUAGCGGGGGAUAACUAUUGGAAACGAUAGCUAAUACCGCAUGACAACAGUUAUUGCAUGAUAACUGUUUAAAAGGGGCAACUGCUCCACUACCAGAUGGACCUGCGUUGUAUUAGCUAGUUGGUGAGGUAACGGCUCACCAAGGCGACGAUACAUAGCCGACCUGAGAGGGUGAUCGGCCACACUGGGACUGAGACACGGCCCAGACUCCUACGGGAGGCAGCAGUAGGGAAUCUUCGGCAAUAGACGGAAGUCUGACCGAGCAACGCCGCGUGAGUGAAGAAGGUUUUCGGAUCGUAAAGCUCUGUUGUAAGAGAAGAACGAGUGUGAGAGUGGAAAGUUCACACUGUGACGGUAUCUUACCAGAAAGGGACGGCUAACUACGUG
RNAcentral lists this ribosomal RNA (495 nucleotides) under uncultured bacterium. RNAcentral's name for it is "partial 16S ribosomal RNA". It matches the Rfam family "Bacterial small subunit ribosomal RNA", at positions 28 to 507 of the family's 1533-position model. The record is from RNAcentral.